RNAcentral lists this non-coding RNA (24 nucleotides) under Arabidopsis thaliana (thale cress). Lineage: Eukaryota; Viridiplantae; Streptophyta; Magnoliopsida; Brassicales; Brassicaceae. The record is from RNAcentral.
UGAUGCUGUUGGAUAAGUUGAUUG